RNAcentral lists this ribosomal RNA (439 nucleotides) under uncultured bacterium. Its description in RNAcentral is "partial 16S ribosomal RNA". It matches the Rfam family "Bacterial small subunit ribosomal RNA", at positions 339 to 795 of the family's 1533-position model. The record is from RNAcentral.
CUACGGGUGGCUGCAGUGAGGAAUAUUGCACAAUGGGGGGAACCCUGAUGCAGCAACGCCGCGUGGAGGAUGACGCAUUUCGGUGUGUAAACUCCUUUUAUAUGUCAAGAAAAUGACGGUAGCAUAUGAAUAAGCACCGGCUAACUCCGUGCCAGCAGCCGCGGUAAUACGGAGGGUGCAAGCGUUACUCGGAAUCACUGGGCGUAAAGGACGCGUAGGCGGGUUGGAAAGUCAGGUGUGAAAUCCUACAGCUUAACUGCAGAACGGCACUUGAAACUUCUAAUCUAGAGUAUGGGAGGGGGAGAUGGAAUUAGUGGUGUAGGGGUAAAAUCCGUAGAUAUCACUAGGAAUACCUAAAGCGAAGGCGAUCUCCUGGAACAUUACUGACGCUAAGGCGUGAAAGCGUGGGGAGCAAACAGGAUUAGAUACCCCAGUAGUC